AGAGCAUAGGGUGGAUGCCUUGGCACCAAGAGCCGAAGAAGGACGUGGUCAGCUGCGAUAAGCCAUGGUCAGCCGCAAGCAGGCAAUGACCCAUGGAUUUCCGAAUGCGGAAACGCGGCACGUUAACAGCGUGUCAUCAUGUCAUGAAUAAAUAGUGACAUGAGGGGAACCCGGUGAACUGAAACAUCUAAGUAGCCGGAGGAAGAGAAAGAAACAUCGAUUUCCUUAGUAGCGGCGAGCGAAAGGGAAAGAGCCCAAACCGAGGGUCUACGGACGUUCGGGGUUCGGACUUGCAAAAAUCGAAGUACUUAUAGACGAAGAGGUUUGGAACUUCCUACCAAAGAGGGUAACAGUCCCGUAGUCGAAAUGAGUACAAGAGGGCGAGAAUCCAGAGUACCACAGGACACGAGUAAUCCGGUGGGAAGACGGGGGGCCCACCCCCCAAGGCUAAAUACUACUUGGUGACCGAUAGCGUAUAGUACCGUGAGGGAAAGGUGAAAAGAACCCCGGGAGGGGAGUGAAAGAGUACCUGAAACCCUAUGUUUACAAGCAGUGGGAGCGAGAGCGACCAUGUACUUUUUGUAGAACGGGCCGGCGAGUUACUGUGUGCAGCGAGGUUAAGUUGUUAAGCAACGGAGCCGAAGGGAUACCGAGUCUGAAAAGGGCGUAAAGUUGCAUGCAGUACACCCGAAACCGGGUGACCUAUCCAUGGACAGGAUGAAGCGACGGUAAGACGUCGUGGAGGUCCGAACCACACGUACGUGAAAAGUGCGGGGAUGAGCUGUGGAUAGCGGAGAAAUUCCAAUCGAACUCGGAGAUAGCUGGUUCUCCCCGAAAUAGCUUUAGGGCUAGCCUCGAUUUAGAUUACCGGGGGUAGAGCACUGAAUGGGCUAGGGGGCCACAAAGCUUACCGAACCCUAUCAAACUUCGAAUACCGGAUAAUUGAUGAUCGGGAGUCAGACAGUGUGAGAUAAGUUUCAUUGUCGAAAGGGAAACAGCCCAGAUCUACGACUAAGGUCCCAAAGUUCAAGUUAAGUGGAAAAGGAUGUGCAAUUGCGCAGACAACCAGGAUGUUGGCUUAGUAGCAGCCAUUCAUUCAAAGAGUGCGUAAUAGCUCACUGGUCGAGUGAUUGUGCGCCGAAAAUGUAACGGGGCUAAACUUGACACCGAAGUCUAGGCAGAAGGAAACUUCUGGGUAGGGGAGCAACGUGUACGGGCAGAAGCAGAAGCGGAAGCGACUGUGGACUGUACAGGAGAGAGAAUGCCGGCAUGAGUAGCGAGAGCAAAGUGAGAAUCUUUGCCGUCGAAAGCCUAAGGUUUCCUGAGGAAGGCUCGUCCUCUCAGGGUAAGUCGGGACCUAAGCCGAGGACAAUAGUCGUAGGCGAUGGACAAUCGGUUAAUAUUCCGAUACCGCCGAGCAACCGGAUGCAGUGACACAGAAGGAUAGGCAGAGCGUGGCGAUGGUAGACCACGUCCAAGCAGUGAGGCUGUUGUGUAGUGAAGUACGCACAACGUAAGGCUGGGCUGUGAUGGGGAACGAUUACGAUCGGUAAGCUGCUGAAUUCACGCUGGCGAGAAAAGCUGCUACGAAGCGAAGGCGCCCGUACCGCAAACCGACACAGGUAGGCGAGGAGAGAAUCCUAAGACGAGCGGGAGAACCCUUGUUAAGGAACUCGGCAAAAUGACUCCGUAACUUAGGGAGAAGGAGUGCCCAGGAAUGGGCCGCAGAGAAUAGACCCAAGCGACUGUUUACCAAAAACACAGGUCUGUGCGAAGUAGAGAUACGACGUAUACGGGCUGACACCUGCCCAGUGCCGGAAGGUUAAGGGGAAAUGUUAGGGCAACCGAAGCAUGGAACUUAAGCCCCGGUGAACGGCGGCCGUAACUAUAACGGUCCUAAGGUAGCGAAAUUCCUUGUCGGGUAAGUUCCGACCCGCACGAAUGGUGUAACGAUUUGGGUACUGUCUCAACAAGGGACCCGGCGAAAUUGUAGUAUGUGUGAAGAUGCACAUUACCCGCGAUAGGACGGAAAGACCCCGUAGAGCUUUACUGUAGUUUAACAUUGGAUUCCGGUAACAUAUGCACAGGAUAGGUGGGAGGCGGAGAAGCAGUGAUUUCGGUUGCUGCAGAGCCGACGUUGGGAUACCACUCUUGUGUUACUGGGGUUCUAACCUGUGGCCGUGAUCCGGCACAGGAACAGUGUUAGAUGGGCAGUUUGACUGGGGCGGUCGCCUCCAAAAGAGUA
RNAcentral lists this ribosomal RNA (2245 nucleotides) under human gut metagenome. RNAcentral's name for it is "bacterial LSU rRNA". It matches the Rfam family "Bacterial large subunit ribosomal RNA", at positions 14 to 2299 of the family's 2925-position model. The record is from RNAcentral.